UACCCUACGGGGGGCAGCAGCAGGGAAUUUUCGUCAAUGGGCGCAAGCCUGACCCAGCAACGCCGCGUGAAGGAAGAAGGCUUUCGGGUUGUAAACUUCUUUUCUCAGGGACGAAGAAAGUGACGGUACCUGAGGAAUAAGCCACGGCUAACUACGUGCCAGCAGCCGCGGUAAUACGUAGGUGGCAAGCGUUAUCCGGAUUUACUGGGUGUAAAGGGCGUGUAGGCGGGGAAGCAAGUCAGAUGUGAAAACCACGGGCUCAACCUGUGGCCUGCAUUUGAAACUGUUUUUCUUGAGUACUGGAG
This 305-nucleotide ribosomal RNA is filed under the name uncultured bacterium. RNAcentral describes it as "bacterial SSU rRNA". It matches the Rfam family "Bacterial small subunit ribosomal RNA", at positions 335 to 654 of the family's 1533-position model. The record is from RNAcentral.